This 510-nucleotide ribosomal RNA is filed under the name uncultured bacterium. RNAcentral's name for it is "partial 16S ribosomal RNA". It matches the Rfam family "Bacterial small subunit ribosomal RNA", at positions 28 to 507 of the family's 1533-position model. The record is from RNAcentral.
GACGAACGCUGGCGGCGUGCUUAACACAUGCAAGUCGAACGAAGAGCGAUGGAAGCUUGCUUCUAUCAAUCUUAGUGGCGAACGGGUGAGUAACGCGUAAUCAACCUGCCCUUCAGAGGGGGACAACAGUUGGAAACGACUGCUAAUACCGCAUACGAUCUAAUCUCGGCAUCGAGGAGAGAUGAAAGGUGGCCUCUACAUGUAAGCUAUCACUGAAGGAGGGGAUUGCGUCUGAUUAGCUAGUUGGAGGGGUAACGGCCCACCAAGGCGAUGCUCAGUAGCCGGUCUGGGAGGAUGGACGGCCACAUUGGGACCGAGACACGGCCCAGACCCCUACGGGAGGCAGCAGUGGGGAAUCUUCCGCAAUGGACGAAAGUCUGACGGAGCAACGCCGCGUGAGUGAUGACGGCCUUCGGGUUGUAAAGCUCUGUUAAUCGGGACGAAAGGCCUUCUUGCGAAUAGGGAGAAGGAUUGACGGUACCGGAAUAGAAAGCCACGGCUAACUACGUG